AAAUAAGAAGCAAUAAAUGCAUUUAAUUUCGACUUAAAAGAUAGGGUUUUAAAAGCCCCUUAUUUA
RNAcentral lists this transfer RNA (66 nucleotides) under Conogethes punctiferalis (yellow peach moth). RNAcentral describes it as "tRNA-Arg". Lineage: Eukaryota; Metazoa; Arthropoda; Insecta; Lepidoptera; Crambidae. The record is from RNAcentral.